Molecule: non-coding RNA, 1044 nt
Organism: Meleagris gallopavo (turkey)
Lineage: Eukaryota; Metazoa; Chordata; Aves; Galliformes; Phasianidae
Source: RefSeq, a predicted model, not a curated record
UGAUGUGGCAGGGUGGGGCCAGAAUACAUGUCACUCUGCAGUUACACAGGCAGCCCCUGCGGGGAGAGCAAUGCAGAGCGUAGCUCUCUUUUUCUUAUCAGUUUUUGCAGGCAGGGCAAGCAGAGAGGAUAGAGUAUCCCUCCCCACCAGGAAGUCCAGAUCAUCUAUCAGCUGCCUCCCAAACAGCAGAUAUAACCAUGGUCUCCACUAAGCAGAAAGCUCUUAAUGAAACGAGUGUGGCCAUGCAGACUGAGAGCUAGCCCAGAAACACAGCUGUUCAGCUCUCUGGCUGCACGGAGAACCUAAGUCUGCUGCUGCCUCCAGAGAAUGGUAAAGAUGCCAGUUGUGAGAGGUAUGAGCAGACUGUGACAAGGAUGUGCCAUGCUGGUGUGACAGACAUGUACACAUGAAACUGAAAGGUGUGACUAAGAGCAUGGGAUGUAUCAGCUCUGAAUUUGUGCAGAGAAAGGAAGUUCAAUGUGAUGAAGUCUGCAGCAUUGACUGCAGAUGCCCUUUAAAUCACAGAAGACAAGAUGCUCAUAGAGAUACCAGAGCUCUUUGUAAUUAAAGUACAAAGAAAUUCCUGCCUUCUGACUCCCAUAUCACAGCUGAGUUAAGGAUGUCUCUUCUGCUUCAAGACUGAAAGUAAAUAAAACUGAGAUAUGGCCAUGGGUUUUCAAGACAUCUUGAGUUCAUGUGGGACAAGAAGACAAAACACAGCAAAAAUACCUUGCUGAAUAGGUGACUCAGGCGCAAGAGAUGGCAGAAGAAAAUGGCUAAUGCGAAGGAGAGCACAGAACGCUCUACCACUGGUUAUGCAUCUGUAAGCCCUUGUAAGCUGAUGUGGUCCAUUGGCACAGAACUGAUACAGAUACUCUGCAGACACGGAUUUAUCUUAUUUUUAAUGGGAAGUGACAUCCAGGACCCUGAGUCAAACACAGAUUGAAUACAGACUGAAAUACAUUUACUUUUUAUUUAUCUUUAACUGGCUAUAAAGAUGCACCUUUCAGCAGACUAUGAAGACGGGUAAAGUACAGAGGAACU